This 274-nucleotide ribosomal RNA is filed under the name uncultured bacterium. Its description in RNAcentral is "partial 16S ribosomal RNA". It matches the Rfam family "Bacterial small subunit ribosomal RNA", at positions 523 to 796 of the family's 1533-position model. The record is from RNAcentral.
AUACGGAGGGUGCAAGCGUUACUCGGAAUCACUGGGCGUAAAGGACGCGUAGGCGGGUUGUCAAGUCUGAUGUGAAAUCCUAUGGCUCAACCAUAGAACUGCAUUGGAAACUGGCAACCUAGAGUAUGGGAGGGGGAGAUGGAAUUAGUGGUGUAGGGGUAAAAUCCGUAGAUAUCACUAGGAAUACCGAAAGCGAAGGCGAUCUCCUGGAACAUAACUGACGCUAAGGCGUGAAAGCGUGGGGAGCAAACGGAAUUAGAAACCCCGGUAGUCC